ACGGAGGGUGCGAGCGUUGUUCGGAAUCACUGGGCGUAAAGGGCGCGUAGGCGGCCUGCUAAGUCGAACGUGAAAUCCCCGGGCUCAACCCGGGGACUGCGUCCGAUACUGGUAGGCUCGAAUUCGGGAGAGGGAUGCGGAAUUCCAGGUGUAGCGGUGAAAUGCGUAGAUAUCUGGAGGAACACCGGUGGCGAAGGCGGCAUCCUGGACCGACAUUGACGCUGAGGCGCGAAAGCCAGGGGAGCAAACGGGA
Molecule: ribosomal RNA, 253 nt
Filed under: uncultured prokaryote
Description: partial 16S ribosomal RNA
Rfam family: Bacterial small subunit ribosomal RNA
Source: RNAcentral